GAUGAACGCUGGCGGCGUGCCUAAUACAUGCAAGUCGAGCGAACGGACGAGAAGCUUGCUUCUCUGAUGUUAGCGGCGGACGGGUGAGUAACACGUGGAUAACCUACCUAUAAGACUGGGAUAACUUCGGGAAACCGGAGCUAAUACCGGAUAAUAUUUUGAACCGCAUGGUUCAAAAGUGAAAGACGGUCUUGCUGUCACUUAUAGAUGGAUCCGCGCUGCAUUAGCUAGUUGGUAAGGUAACGGCUUACCAAGGCAACGAUGCAUAGCCGACCUGAGAGGGUGAUCGGCCACACUGGAACUGAGACACGGUCCAGACUCCUACGGGAGGCAGCAGUAGGGAAUCUUCCGCAAUGGGCGAAAGCCUGACGGAGCAACGCCGCGUGAGUGAUGAAGGUCUUCGGAUCGUAAAACUCUGUUAUUAGGGAAGAACAUAUGUGUAAGUAACUGUGCACAUCUUGACGGUACCUAAUCAGAAAGCCACGGCUAACUACGUGCCAGCAGCCGCGGUAAUACGUAGGUGGCAAGCGUUAUCCGGAAUUAUUGGGCGUAAAGCGCGCGUAGGCGGUUUUUUAAGUCUGAUGUGAAAGCCCACGGCUCAACCGUGGAGGGUCAUUGGAAACUGGAAAACUUGAGUGCGGAAGAGGAAAGUGGAAUUCCAUGUGUAGCGGUGAAAUGCGCAGAGAUAUGGAGGAACACCAGUGGCGAAGGCGACUUUCUGGUCUGUAACUGACGCUGAUGUGCGAAAGCGUGGGGAUCAAACAGGGUUAGAUACCCUGGUAGUCCACGCCGUAAACGAUGAGUGCUAAGUGUUAGGGGGUUUCCGCCCCUUAGUGCUGCAGCUAACGCAUUAAGCACUCCGCCUGGGGAGUACGACCGCAAGGUUGAAACUCAAAGGAAUUGACGGGGACCCGCACAAGCGGUGGAGCAUGUGGUUUAAUUCGAAGCAACGCGAAGAACCUUACCAAAUCUUGACAUCCUUUGACAACUCUGGAGACAGAGCCUUCCCCUUCGGGGGACAAAGUGACAGGUGGUGCAUGGUUGUCGUCAGCUCGUGUCGUGAGAUGUUGGGUUAAGUCCCGCAACGAGCGCAACCCUUAAGCUUAGUUGCCAUCAUUAAGUUGGGCACUCUAAGUUGACUGCCGGUGACAAACCGGAGGAAGGUGGGGAUGACGUCAAAUCAUCAUGCCCCUUAUGAUUUGGGCUACACACGUGCUACAAUGGACAAUACAAAGGGCAGCGAAACCGCGAGGUCAAGCAAAUCCCAUAAAGUUGUUCUCAGUUCGGAUUGUAGUCUGCAACUCGACUACAUGAAGCUGGAAUCGCUAGUAAUCGUAGAUCAGCAUGCUACGGUGAAUACGUUCCCGGGUCU
This 1372-nucleotide ribosomal RNA is filed under the name uncultured bacterium. RNAcentral describes it as "bacterial SSU rRNA". It matches the Rfam family "Bacterial small subunit ribosomal RNA", at positions 28 to 1381 of the family's 1533-position model. The record is from RNAcentral.